UGAAUACGAGACGCUAAGGCGUCGAAGUAGUGUAUGUCAUACUUCCAAGAAAAGCUUGCACUGUCAUAGAUAAAAAACGCCUGUACCAUAACCGACACAGGUGGGUAGGUAGAGUAUACUAAGGGGCGCGAGAUAACUCUCUCUAAGGAACUCGGCAAAAUAACUCCGUAACUUCGGGAGAAGGAGUGCCUUAUUCGUAAGGUUGCAAUAACAAGAUCCAAGCAACUGUUUAUCAAAAACACAGGUCUCCGCUAAGUCGUAAGACGAUGUAUGGGGGCUGACGCCUGCCCAGUGCCAGAAGGUUAAAGAAGUUGGUUAGCAAUUGCGAAGCUGAUAACUGAAGCCCUGGUGAACGGCGGCCGUAACUAUAACGGUCCUAAGGUAGCGAAAUUCCUUGUCGGGUAAGUUCCGACCCGCACGAAAGGCGUAAUGAUUUGGAUACUGUCUCGGAGAGGGGCUCGGUGAAAUAGACUUGUCUGUGAAGAUGCGGACUACCUGCACCAGGACAGAAAGACCCUAUGAAGCUUUACUGUAACUUGAAAUUGAAAUUGGACUUUAUUCGCGCAGUAUAGGUGGGAGGCGUUGAUUAUAAUCUUGUGGGAUUAUUGGAGCCAUCAGUGAGAUACCACUCUUGUAAUGUUAGAUUUCUAACUUUGAAUCAUUAUCUGGUCAAAGAACAGUUUCAGGCGGGCAGUUUGACUGGGGCGGUCGCCUCCUAAACGGUAACGGAGGCGUACAAAGGUUUCCUCUGAACGGUUAGAAAUCGUAUCUAGAGUGUAAAGGCAUAAGGAAGCUUGACUGUGAGACCUACAAGUCGAGCAGGGACGAAAGUCGGUCUUAGUGAUCUGACGGUACUGAGUGGAAAGGCCGUCACUCAACGGAUAAAAGUUACUCUAGGAUAACAGGCUGAUCUCCCCCAAGAGUUCACAUCGACGGGGAGGUUUGGCACCUCGAUGUCGGCUCAUCGCAUCCUGGGGCGGUAGUACGUCCCAAGGGUUGGGCUGUUAGCCCAUGAAAGCGGUACGCGAGCUGGGUUCAGAACGUCGUGAGACAGUUCGGUCCAUAUCCGGUGUAGGCGUUAGAAUAUUGAGAGGAGCCUUCUUUAGUACGAGAGGACCGAGAAGGACAUACCUCUGGUGUACCAGUUAUCGUGCCAACGGUAAACGCUGGGUAGCUAUGUAUGGAGUGGAUAACCGCUGAAAGCAUCUAAGUGGGAAGCCCACCUCAAGAUAAGUAUUCUCA
Molecule: ribosomal RNA, 1242 nt
Filed under: metagenome
Description: bacterial LSU rRNA
Rfam family: Bacterial large subunit ribosomal RNA
Source: RNAcentral